This 253-nucleotide unclassified non-coding RNA is filed under the name uncultured Pirellulaceae bacterium. RNAcentral describes it as "contains 16S-23S intergenic spacer region". It matches the Rfam family "Bacterial small subunit ribosomal RNA", at positions 524 to 776 of the family's 1533-position model. The record is from RNAcentral. Lineage: Bacteria; Pseudomonadati; Planctomycetota; Planctomycetia; Pirellulales; Pirellulaceae.
UACGAACCGUGCAAACGUUAUUCGGAAUUAUUGGGCUUAAAGGGCGCGUAGGCGGCGCUGUAAGUCAGGUGUGAAAUCCCACGGCUCAACCGUGGAACUGCGCUUGAUACUGCAGUGCUUGAGUGAGGCAGAGGUAAGCGGAACUGAUGGUGGAGCGGUGAAAUGCGUUGAUAUCAUCAGGAACACCAGUGGCGAAAGCGGCUUACUGGGUCUCUACUGACGCUGAGGCACGAAAGCUAGGGUAGCAAACGGG